RNAcentral lists this ribosomal RNA (483 nucleotides) under uncultured bacterium. RNAcentral's name for it is "partial 16S ribosomal RNA". It matches the Rfam family "Bacterial small subunit ribosomal RNA", at positions 28 to 523 of the family's 1533-position model. The record is from RNAcentral.
GACGAACGCUGGCGGCGUGCUUAACACAUGCAAGUCGAACGAUGAAGCCGGAGCUUGCUCCGGUGGAUUAGCGGCGAACGGGUGAGUAACACGUGAGCAAUCUGCCCUUGACUCUGGGAUAACUGCGGGAAACUGUAGCUAAUACCGGAUACGACGCCUUGGGGCAUCCCAGGGUGUGGGAAGAAUUUCGGUCAAGGAUGAGCUCGCGGCCUAUCAGCUAGUUGGUGAGGUAAUGGCUCACCAAGGCGACGACGGGUAGCCGGCCUGAGAGGGUGGCCGGCCACACUGGAACUGAGACACGGUCCAGACUCCUACGGGAGGCAGCAGUGGGGAAUAUUGCACAAUGGGCGAAAGCCUGAUGCAGCAACGCCGCGUGAGGGAUGAAGGCCUUCGGGUUGUAAACCUCUUUUAGCAGGGAAGAAGCGAAAGUGACGGUACCUGCAGAAAAAGCACCGGCUAACUACGUGCCAGCAGCCGCGGUAA